UGUAAAUUUAACUGUUAAUCCAAAGGGGUACAACCCUUUGGAAACAGGAUACAACCUUCAUUAGAGAGUAAGCAAAAACCAAUAACCAUAGUUGGCCUAAAAGCAGCCAUCAAUUAAGAAAGCGUUCAAGCUCAACAAACUACACUUAACUAAAUAUAAUAAAUAUAUUCAAACUCCUAACUCUAGACUGGACUAAUCUAUAUUUAUAUAGAAGCAAUACUGUUAAUAUGAGUAACAAGAUUUAAAUCUCCAAGCACAAGCGUAUGUCAGAACAGAUACUUAACUGACAUUUAACGGCCAAAUAAAUUUACCCUAUAAUAAAAUAUUUAUUUUUUUACCGUUAACCCAACACAGGUGUGCACUUAAGGAAAGAUUAAAAGAAGUAAAAGGAACUCGGCAAACACAAACCCCGCCUGUUUACCAAAAACAUCACCUCUAGCAUUACUAGUAUUAGAGGCACUGCCUGCCCAGUGACAAUUGUUUAACGGCCGCGGUAUCCUGACCGUGCAAAGGUAGCAUAAUCAUUUGUUCCCUAAUUAGGGACUUGUAUGAAUGGCCACACGAGGGUUUAACUGUCUCUUACUUCCAAUCAGUGAAAUUGACCUCCCCGUGAAGAGGCGGGAAUAUAAUAAUUAGACGAGAAGACCCUAUGGAGCUUUAAUUUAUCUACUCCAAUAGAAUAACCAAUAACCCACACAGGAAUAACACUUCAUUCUAACUGGAUAGAGAAUUUCGGUUGGGGUGACCUCGGAGCAUAAAACAACCUCCGAGAAUUUCUACUAAGACUAACAAGUCAAAGUACUACACACAUAAUUGAUCCAGUCUAACUGAUCAACGGAACAAGUUACCCUAGGGAUAACAGCGCAAUCCUAUUCUAGAGUCCCUAUCGACAAUAGGGUUUACGACCUCGAUGUUGGAUCAGGACAUCCCAAUGGUGUAGCAGCUAUUAAUGGUUCGUUU
This 960-nucleotide ribosomal RNA is filed under the name Cryptotis tropicalis (Tropical small-eared shrew). Its description in RNAcentral is "partial 16S ribosomal RNA". It matches the Rfam family "Bacterial large subunit ribosomal RNA", at positions 881 to 2578 of the family's 2925-position model. Lineage: Eukaryota; Metazoa; Chordata; Mammalia; Eulipotyphla; Soricidae. The record is from RNAcentral.